AAUUAGCCCUGAUAGCAGCGGUUCCCCCACCGCUGGCAGCAGGAAAAGAAAGGAGAGAGGAGUAUGAGCGGAUAGCAGGAAGCAGC
This 86-nucleotide unclassified non-coding RNA is filed under the name Chryseobacterium indologenes. RNAcentral's name for it is "Flavo-1 RNA". The record is from RNAcentral. Lineage: Bacteria; Pseudomonadati; Bacteroidota; Flavobacteriia; Flavobacteriales; Weeksellaceae.